This 484-nucleotide ribosomal RNA is filed under the name uncultured bacterium. RNAcentral's name for it is "partial 16S ribosomal RNA". It matches the Rfam family "Bacterial small subunit ribosomal RNA", at positions 30 to 507 of the family's 1533-position model. The record is from RNAcentral.
AUUGAACGCUGGCGGCAGGCCUAACACAUGCGAGUCGAGCGGAUGAAGGGAGCUUGCUCCUGGAUUCAGCGGCGGACGGGUGAGUAAUGCCUAGGGAUCUGCCUGGUAGUGGGGGAUAACGUCCGGAAACGGGCGCUAAUACCGCAUACGUCCUGAGGGAGAAAGUGGGGGAUCUUCGGACCUCACGCUAUCAGAUGAGCCUAGGUCGGAUUAGCUAGUUGGUGGGGUAAAGGCCUACCAAGGCGACGAUCCGUAACUGGUCUGAGAGGAUGAUCAGUCACACUGUAACUGAGACACGGUCCAGACUCCUACGGGAGGCAGCAGUGGGGAAUAUUGGACAAUGGGCGAAAGCCUGAUCCAGCCAUGCCGCGUGUGUGAAGAAGGUCUUCGGAUUGUAAAGCACUUUAAGUUGGGAGGAAGGGCAGUAAGUUAAUACCUUGCUGUUUUGACGUUACCAACAGAAUAAGCACCGGCUAACUUCGUG